Phalacrocorax carbo (great cormorant) is the source of this 597-nucleotide non-coding RNA. Lineage: Eukaryota; Metazoa; Chordata; Aves; Suliformes; Phalacrocoracidae. The record is from RefSeq and is a predicted model, not a curated record.
UCGGGUGCCGGGCGGCCGUGCCGCGUACGGUACGCGCGGUGUAUUUUUGGGGUUGGAUUCGUGUUGAUUUCUGGGGGCUUCCAGGUGCGGCCGCUCCCCGAGAAGCGAGACCGUGCUGAGGACGUGGUUGUCUGUCCUUCCCCCGGGGAUGCCGUUGACUGCGGCCGUCUCAGGCUUGCGUGGCUUCUCUCUGCCCGGCGUUGCCAUCCUCGCAGCGCGGGGGUGAAAAGGGACACACAGAGCCCUUCCCGGCUGUGGACAGGAGCUGCCUCGGCUGAAGCUGGAGACGCCAACGAAAGGUGCAGGACGGCCUAGAGUCUGGAGCUGCAGAAGAGGCAGGGCGGAGAGGAGGGGAAAGAAGCAUCUGAACGGCUAAAUUGUGCCAGCAGCGCUGAGAGCGAGAGUCGCGAGACCGUGCUGAGGACGUGGUUGUCUGUCCUUCCCCCGGGGAUGCCGUUGACUGCGGCCGUCUCAGGCUUGCGUGGCUUCUCUCUGCCCGGCGUUGCCAUCCUCGCAGCGCGGGGGCGAAAAGGGACACACAGAGCCCUUCCCGGCUGUGGACAGGAGCUGCCUCGGCUGAAGCUGGAGACGCCAACG